UUAAUCGAAACCAAAAUAGAGGUAUAUCACUGUUAAUGAUUUAAUUGAGAAUUACUCCGAUUAAA
Molecule: transfer RNA, 65 nt
Filed under: Ontholestes orientalis
Lineage: Eukaryota; Metazoa; Arthropoda; Insecta; Coleoptera; Staphylinidae
Description: tRNA-Asn
Source: RNAcentral